CAGUCGCCACGGUAAUACGAAGGGUGCAAGCGUUACUCGGAAUUACUGGGCGUAAAGCGUGCGUAGGUGGUGGUUUAAGUCCGUUGUGAAAGCCCUGGGCUCAACCUGGGAAUGGCAGUGGAUACUGGCUCGCUAGAGUGUGUCAGAGGAUGGUGGAAUUCCCGGUGUAGCGGUGAAAUGCGUAGAGAUCGGGAGGAACAUCAGUGGCGAAGGCGGCCAUCUGGGACAACACUGACGCUGAGGCACGAAAGCGUGGGGAGCAAACAGGAUUAGAUACCCCUGUAGUCCCUGUCUCUUAUAC
This 301-nucleotide ribosomal RNA is filed under the name uncultured bacterium. RNAcentral's name for it is "partial 16S ribosomal RNA". It matches the Rfam family "Bacterial small subunit ribosomal RNA", at positions 509 to 807 of the family's 1533-position model. The record is from RNAcentral.